GAUGAUCUCAGCAUUACUACGCCUGCCCCCUGCAGGAUCCACCCCUCUAGUGAUGUCUCUGAUGAGCGCCCUCUGUGUGUCGAGCGCGGUAGCGUGUAUAUGCGCGGCGCUCGUGCGAAGGGUCGCGAAGUUCCGCGUCUCACCGCCAGGUGUCAUUAGGAGUGUUUUGUUGGCCGCUUCCGGAGUUUUUAAACUCACUCCGGAUGAGGGCUCCGGGCAGGCGGCGGAGAGCGGCGCGUGGGCGGCGGCGGCGCUGCUGCUGGACCGGCUGCUCAGCGCCGCGCUGCUGUUCACGCUGUUCGUUAUUGUCUGUGUGUAUGUCUCUAGUUAACGUUUCCAGACUGCUUAUUAAUAAAUAGAAGUAGUUUUGUAAAGUUGCA
This is a long non-coding RNA of Plutella xylostella (diamondback moth), 380 nucleotides long. RefSeq lists it as uncharacterized. Lineage: Eukaryota; Metazoa; Arthropoda; Insecta; Lepidoptera; Plutellidae. The record is from RefSeq and is a predicted model, not a curated record.